GUUGUAAUGCCAGAGGCAAUGUUUAUAAUCACGAAACCCUGAAGCCCAGGCUGUUCCGCUCCAAACCUGCUCCUACUUUCCCAUCUGACCCUUCGAAACAGCCAGACUGUCAUGAAAUGGAACAUAUUUGCAUUCAGUGACAGGUUCCUAGCAUCACAUAUUCUCUGGGCUAGGUCAACUUAGGAUCCCGUCAUACAGGGGGAGUAUGCUUUACAGUUCAGCAGUUUAAGUUCCUGUGUGAACCUAAGGAGCAGCCUGACUUCAAGGCCCUGGCUAAUGCCAGCUGCCCAGGCAAAGGAAUUCACCAACAAAAAAGCGAGAUGGCCAACUCAGGAAUGCUGACCAUGAGAAUCCAUAUCAGGACCAGCAAGGAUCGUAGCUGCAUGCCCACAGCCCCUCCCUUUGAUCUCUUUGUUCUGCUUUCCCUCUCCUUCUUUAUAAAAUCCUCUGCCUGCACUGAGAUGUUAAGGUGUGCUUUGGGACAAGAGUCCUCCUUCUUCUUUGG
Molecule: long non-coding RNA, 505 nt
Organism: Molossus molossus (Pallas's mastiff bat)
Lineage: Eukaryota; Metazoa; Chordata; Mammalia; Chiroptera; Molossidae
Exons: 3
Source: RefSeq, a predicted model, not a curated record